RNAcentral lists this long non-coding RNA (426 nucleotides) under Anas platyrhynchos platyrhynchos (common mallard). RNAcentral's name for it is "lncRNA (ENSAPLG00000021583.1)". Lineage: Eukaryota; Metazoa; Chordata; Aves; Anseriformes; Anatidae. The record is from RNAcentral.
GGCAGGGGUGUUACUUUUGCAGGGAGUGCAAAAGAAUCAAAUAUGUCAACUGAUGGAACUGUGAGUGUGACUUCAGAAUUGGCUCUGAUAAUAAGGAUUGUGGAGCUACAGUUCUGAAUGCCUCUUUUAACAUGCUUUCCACUUUGUUGACAGAGACUCAGCACAUACACUACAGGCUGGAAGUGACAGAUGGAUGUUAAAUCUUUAAUGGUGGUCUAGUGAGAGAGAAAAAACUUUGGAAAAGGAAGCUCUUGCCUCAAGGAUGGGGAAUCCAAUGAAGGUGCUGCUUCCAGCCUGUAUCUUUGAAUGAAGUUUAAUUUGGACUACAUCCAUGUUUGAGAAUAACCUGCCCCUACAUUUCCAGGCAGCUGCUGGGAGGCCUCAGUCUGCCUGGAAAAUUUGGGUACCAGAUAUGCUGUGACUGCC